This 1576-nucleotide ribosomal RNA is filed under the name uncultured bacterium. Its description in RNAcentral is "partial 16S ribosomal RNA". The record is from RNAcentral.
GGUUACCUUGUUACGACUUCAUCCCAGUUAUCAACCCGACUAUAAAUUAUGCAAAUUAAAGUAAACUUUGAAAUUUGUUAACAUAAAAAAUAAAAAAAUUAAACACAAUAAUCAACAAAUAUUUUUUAGCCAAGCCGACUUCCGGCACGUGACGGGCGGUGUGUACAAGGCCUAAGUACAAAUUCACCACGACGUUCUGAUUCGUGAUUACUAGUGAUUCCACCUUCAUGUGGGCGAGUUGCAGCCCACAAUCCGAACUUUGGUAAAUUUUUAAGAUUAGCUCCAAGUUACCUUAUUGCUUCUUUUUGUCUUUACCAUUGUAGCACGUGUGUAGCCCAGUUCAUAAGGGCCAUAAAGACUUGACGUCAUCCCCUCCUUCCUCAUUAUAUAUUGUAAUAAAAACUCAACAAUAAGUUGAAACGACAAGUAAUAUAUUUAAAAAAAAUAACACUUAACGUUGCUAAUUGUUUACAAUUAGCAAAUAUUUAAACAAUAAAGCAGUAUAGUUAAAGUCCUUUAUAUAAGAUAUAUAAAUAGUAACUAACUACAGGGGUUUCGCCCGUUAAAAAGAGUGAACCUAACAUCUUACGACACGGGCUGACGACAGCCAUGCAGCACCUGUAUAAAUCCUUUUGAUUAUCCACAAAGAUUAUCCAAAAUAUAUAUCAAAAACUGGUAAGGUUUCGCGCGUAUUGUCGCAUUAAACCACAUGCUCCACCACUCGUAUAGGCCCCCGCCAAUUCCUUUGAGUUCCGUCCUUGCGGCCGUACUCCCCAGGCGGAGUGCUUUAUGUGUUAACUAAUUGUCCAAAAUAUAAUUCAAACAAGAGCACUCAUCUUUGACGGCAUGGACUACCAGGGUAUCUAAUCCUGUUUGCUCCCCAUGCUUUCGUCCCUCAACGUCAGAUUGAAAUAGAUAGUUGCCUUCGCCUUUAGUAUUCCUUCAUAAUUCUACGGAUUUCACCCCUUCAUAUGAAAUUCUACUAUCUUCCUUCAAACUCCGAGCUCUAACGUAUUAAAAGCCUCAAAAAGUAAAGCUUUUUGAUUUUACUUUUAACAUAAAAAGCCGCCUACGGACCCUUUACGCCCAGUCAUCAUGGGUAACGCUCGCCCCCUUCGUCUUACCGCGGCUGCUGGCACGAAGUUAGCCGGGGCUGUUAAUUAAGUAACGUCAAUCGUCCUCCUCAAUUAAUGAAGUUUACAACUUUUGAGCAGUCUUCCUUCAUGUAAUAUUGCUGGGUCAAGCUUUCGCUCAUUGCCCAAGAUUCCUCACUGCUGGCCUCUACUGAAGCCUGGGCCUUGUCUCAGUCCCAGUGUGGUUGUUCAAUCUCUCAAAACAACUAAGGAUCACAGGCUUGGUAAGCCUUAACCUUACCAACUACCUAAUCCUGCAUAGGCUCAUCUUUUAGCAAAAUAUUUCUUUUUUAGUUUUUUACUGUAUUAUACAGGAUUUUUUCCCGUACUAAAAGGCAGAUUCCUAUGUAUUACUCACCCGUUUGCCACUAAGAUAAAUCUUCGUUCAACUCGCAUGUGUUAAGCAUACUACUAGCGUUCACCCUGAGCCAGGAUCAAACUCU